CAACAUUUUGUACUUAUAGAAGCAGAAAGCUUCAUAGGCAGUAGAUGUGGGGAACAACUAAAUUAAACGGCCGCAUUUUAGCUGGUGGCCUUUGACUGAGUUGUCAAGAGAGAGAUUUCGAACAUAUUUUACCCAUGUGGAUGUUCAUAGUUGCUGCAACAAGGAACACGAAGAGCGCUCUACCCAAGUGACGUCACACUACCAGUAUGGACAAAGAUGAGUUUAUAAGGGUUCCUUUUAAAGAAUUCAAGGAAGACAUUGGUGAAUGAGGCCCAUUGCUCUGUGAAAAGGCUUCUUAUACUACAGCCAGAUCUUCACUCUGAGGCUCAGAAAUCAACCCCAUUGACUUAAAUGGUGGUGGACAUGAAGUGAGUCCAUGAGGGAGGAAAUGACUGUGUCCUUCAUCUGUUUCACUCUAUACUCCUGUCACAAUGACCUAUGCCACCAGAGGUCGCUGUCUGUCAAUUACAGGACAAAAAAAUAUACACUAUUAUGGACAAAAGUGUUUGGCCACUUGACCAUUUUACUUACUGGGAGAGUAAUGACAUUGUAUUCAAAUACAUGCACUUUAAUUAAGA
Molecule: long non-coding RNA, 578 nt
Organism: Cheilinus undulatus (humphead wrasse)
Lineage: Eukaryota; Metazoa; Chordata; Actinopteri; Labriformes; Labridae
Exons: 4
Source: RefSeq, a predicted model, not a curated record